GAAUGAACUCCAAACCGAUCUCCGGAUUGUUGUGCUGGUGUCUCUUCACCUUCACACUCUAUCGCUGUGUGGACUCUCGAAAGAGAGUCCACACAGCGAUAGAGUGUGAAGGUGAAGAGACACCAGCACAACAAUCCGGCGAUCGGUUUGGAGUUC
This 156-nucleotide microRNA precursor is filed under the name Pelobates cultripes (western spadefoot toad). The record is from RNAcentral. Lineage: Eukaryota; Metazoa; Chordata; Amphibia; Anura; Pelobatidae.